Molecule: ribosomal RNA, 1299 nt
Filed under: metagenome
Description: bacterial LSU rRNA
Rfam family: Bacterial large subunit ribosomal RNA
Source: RNAcentral
CUACACGACCGUACCGCAAACCGACACUGGUGCGCGAGAUGAGUAUUCUAAGGCGCUUGAGAGAACUCAGGAGAAGGAACUCGGCAAAUUGACACCGUAACUUCGGAAGAAGGUGUGCCUUUAGUAGGUGAACCUGUACAAGGGGAGCCCAAUGAGGUUGCAAAAAAUCGGUGGCUGCGACUGUUUAAUAAAAACACAGCACUCUGCAAACACGAAAGUGGACGUAUAGGGUGUGACGCCUGCCCGGUGCUGGAAGAUUAAAUGAUGGGGUGCAAGCUCUUGAUUGAAGUCCCAGUAAACGGCGGCCGUAACUAUAACGGUCCUAAGGUAGCGAAAUUCCUUGUCGGGUAAGUUCCGACCUGCACGAAUGGCGUAACGAUGGCCACACUGUCUCCUCCUGAGACUCAGCGAAGUUGAAAUGUUUGUGAUGAUGCAAUCUCCCCGCGGAAAGACGGAAAGACCCCGUGAACCUUUACUGUAGCUUUGUAUUGGACUUUGAACAGAUCUGUGUAGGAUAGGUGGGAGGCUUUGAAGUGUGGUCGCUAGAUCGCAUGGAGCCAACGUUGAAAUACCACCCUGGUGUGUUUGAGGUUCUAACCUAGGCCCGUAAUCCGGGUCGGGGACAGUGCAUGGUAGGCAGUUUGACUGGGGCGGUCUCCUCCCAAAGCGUAACGGAGGAGUUCGAAGGUACGCUAGGUACGGUCGGACAUCGUGCUAAUAGUGCAAUGGCAUAAGCGUGCUUAACUGCGAGACUGACAAGUCGAGCAGAUGCGAAAGCAGGACAUAGUGAUCCGGUGGUUCUGUAUGGAAGGGCCAUCGCCCAACGGAUAAAAGGUACUCUGGGGAUAACAGGCUGAUACCGCCCAAGAGUUCAUAUCGACGGCGGUGUUUGGCACCUCGAUGUCGGCUCAUCUCAUCCUGGGGCUGUAGCCGGUCCCAAGGGUAUGGCUGUUCGCCAUUUAAAGAGGUACGUGAGCUGGGUUUAAAACGUCGUGAGACAGUUUGGUCCCUAUCUUCCGUGGGCGCUGCAGAUUUGAGGAAGCCUGCUCCUAGUACGAGAGGACCGGAGUGGACACACCUCUGGUGUAUCGGUUGUCACGCCAGUGGCAUUGCCGAGUAGCUAUGUGUGGAAGAGAUAACCGCUGAAAGCAUCUAAGCGGGAAACUCGUUUCAAGAUGAGAUCUGCCGGGGCCUUGAGCCCCCUAAAGAGUCGUUCAAGACCAGGACGUUGAUAGGUCGGGUGUGGAAGCGCAGUAAUGCGUUAAGCUAACCGAUACUAAUUGCUCGUGCGGCUUGAUC